GACGAACCGUGCGAACGUUAUUCGGAAUCACUGGGCUUAAAGGGCGCGUAGGCGGGCUCGUAAGUCAGGGGGGAAAUCCCACGGCCCAACCGUGGAAGUGCCUCUGAUACUGCGGGCCUCGAGGGGGAUAGGGGCGUGCGGAACUCAGGGUGGAGCGGUGAAAUGCGUAGAUAUCCUGAGGAACACCGGUGGCGAAAGCGGCGCGCUGGAUCCCUUCUGACGCUGAGGCGCGAAAGCCAGGGGAGCAAACAGG
Molecule: ribosomal RNA, 253 nt
Filed under: uncultured bacterium
Lineage: Bacteria
Description: partial 16S ribosomal RNA
Rfam family: Bacterial small subunit ribosomal RNA
Source: RNAcentral